Molecule: ribosomal RNA, 1386 nt
Filed under: uncultured Pelagibacterales bacterium
Lineage: Bacteria; Pseudomonadati; Pseudomonadota; Alphaproteobacteria; Candidatus Pelagibacterales
Description: bacterial SSU rRNA
Rfam family: Bacterial small subunit ribosomal RNA
Source: RNAcentral
GUACGCUGGCGGCACGCCUAACACAUGCAAGUCGAACGAAGUAGCAAUACUUAGUGGCAGACGGGUGAGUAACAUGUAGGUAUCUACCCUUUGGCCUGGAAUAACACGAGGAAACUUGUGCUAAUACCGGAUAAGUCUUUACGGAGAAAGCUUUAUGCACCAUUGGAUGAGCCUGCACUUGAUUAGUUUGUUGGUGGGGUAAUGGCCUACCAAGACUGUGAUCAAUAGCUGAUUUGAGAGGAUGAUCAGCCACAUUGGGACUGAGACACGGCCCAAACUCCUACGGGAGGCAGCAGUGGGGAAUCUUGCACAAUGGAGGAAACUCUGAUGCAGCGAUGCCGCGUGAGUGAAGAAGGCCUUUGGGUUGUAAAGCUCUUUCGUCGGGGAAGAAAAUGACUGUACCCGAAUAAGAAGGUCCGGCUAACUUCGUGCCAGCAGCCGCGGUAAUACGAAGGGACCUAGCGUAGUUCGGAAUUACUGGGCUUAAAGAGUUCGUAGGUGGUUGAAAAAGUUGGUGGUGAAAUCCCAGAGCUUAACUCUGGAACUGCCAUCAAAACUUUUCAGCUAGAGUUUGAUAGAGGAAAGCAGAAUUUCUAGUGUAGAGGUGAAAUUCGUAGAUAUUAGAAAGAAUACCAAUUGCGAAGGCAGCUUUCUGGAUCAUUACUGACACUGAGGAACGAAAGCAUGGGUAGCGAAGAGGAUUAGAUACCCUCGUAGUCCAUGCCGUAAACGAUGUGUGUUAGACGUUGGAAAUUUAUUUUCAGUGUCGCAGCGAAAGCGAUAAACACACCGCCUGGGGAGUACGACCGCAAGGUUAAAACUCAAAUGAAUUGACGGGGACCCGCACAAGUAGUGGAGCAUGUGGUUUAAUUCGAAGAUACGCGCAGAACCUUACCAACACUUGACAUGUUCGUCGCGACUUUAAGAGAUUAAAGUUUUCGGUUCGGCCGGACGAAACACAGGUGCUGCAUGGCUGUCGUCAGCUCGUGUCGUGAGAUGUUGGGUUAAGUCCCGCAACGAGCGCAACCCUCACUUUUAGUUGCCAUCAUUAAGUUGGGCACUCUGAAAGAACUGCCAGUGAUAAGCUGGAGGAAGGUGGGGAUGACGUCAAGUCCUCAUGGCCCUUACGUGUUGGGCUACACACGUGCUACAAUGGUAUCUACAACAGGAAGCAAGACGGCGACGUUAAGCAAAUCCUUAAAAGAUACCUCAGUUCGGAUUGCACUCUGCAACUCGAGUGCAUGAAGCUGGAAUUACUAGUAAUCGUGGAUCAGCGUGCCACGGUGAAUGCGUUCCCGGGUCUUGUACACACCGCCCGUCACACCAUGGGAGUUGGUUCUACCUUAAGGCAAGGUUUCAAACCCUUGACCACGGCAUAGUCAGCGA